This is a non-coding RNA of Tetranychus urticae (two-spotted spider mite), 3517 nucleotides long. NCBI's taxonomy places the organism in Eukaryota, Metazoa, Arthropoda, Arachnida, Trombidiformes, Tetranychidae. The record is from RefSeq and is a predicted model, not a curated record.
UAGUCUUUGUUUAUAUUUUAAUUUGUUAUAAUCUAAUUUACACUAAAUUACUAAUUUAAUUGUCUAAUUUUGUAGUUUCCUUAGUAAAUUUAAUUUGUGUCAAAAUAUUUGGUGAAUUAAAUUAACGUGAAAAAAGCUGUAAAAAACCAUUUUUGGAUAGAAACAAGUUCAAUUUGAAGUUCAAUGAUAUGUCGUCUGAUGUUGCUUGUCUGGUAAUUGGCUAUUAAAAGAAGAUCAAUCAAUGGUGGUGAUGGCAAUGAUGAGACUGGGUUUUUAACGAAAAUAUCAAUAUCAUUAAUUUACAUUAAGGACAUACAGAUAAAGAGAGUUAACGAGGAUAUUUAAAGACACAUUAACAGGAUUAUUUGGUUGGUUAGUGUUUGGGUUUCGAUUUGAGCUGAAACAUUCAACUGACGAAGGAAAAGUGGCUGAUUCUUUUCAAAUGGAAACUUUCAUGUGUGAUUUUUUUUAUUCAAGAUGAUAGAAGAGUGAGAGUCAGUGAGCAUAGAGACGAUAAUAAGUUGUCAUGAAUUAUACCGUUCAUUUGUUACAUAAAGGAUUGCUGGACUUUUCAUUCUGUCUUCAAAGUAAAUUUUUGGCAAUUUUAUUAAUCACGGCUGCUUUCAAUUGUUAAUUUGACUGCUCAAUUGGUAUAUUUGUUAAUUUAGUGUUCCAGUGUGAAAUCGCCAAUCAAUAAUAAAGUCUGAGGGAAAUGAUAAGCAAAUAUAUUCAAUGAACCUCCUACUUUUCAUCCAAUCAUUUGUCUUUCAUCAUCAACAACAUCAUCAUCACAUCAUUACAACAUCUUUAAUUUAGUUGAGGUUAAAACAGCAGUUCGGUGUAUGAUAAAUCGAUGUGCAUUCUUUCCCAGUCAUCGUUCUCAUGAUUAUUUUUCUGCUUAUUCAACAAAAUCAUUUUCAAUUUUUGAUCAUAAAUGUUUUAUCAAUUAUGCAAAGAAGUCAGUGAGCAAAAAUAAUUAACCUACAAGGAAUCAGAAGCAGAAUGAUAUAGUAAAAAAAAGAUGAGCAGCAAUUUUGAUAAAUGUUUUAUUUUAAUUCUCUGCCUUAAUUAUCAACUCGAAAUGUUGGGCAACAAAAAUGAUAUUAAGUCAGUUUUAAAAUUAUUAACAGCGACUGAAAAUUUUGAUUAUCCACCGAAACAAAGGCAAAUUUUAUGGCUGAAACAGGAGAGGAUAAAAUGAUGAUCUCUGAUGAUGAUGAUGAGAGGAUUGCAAUAAUCAGACCACCUCGGAGAGAAUGGAUAAUGAUUUUCUGGGUUCCUUCUUGAUCAUCUUUAAAAAAAGUGAAAAACACAAAACUAAACUCAGCAUGGGUCAACCAUUAAUUCCCAAUGGCCUCCGACUAAGCAAGUUAACACGUUGGUAUUAGUGAGUUUAUUAAAACAUUACAUAUUACAUGCUACUUGAUGAGUUUUUAUCUGUUGCGAGGCGGAAAAGAGGAAUCAUCAAGAUGAUCAUCAUGCUCAACAUCAUUAUCAACAUGAUCGUUAUUUACCUUUUUACAAUAAAAAGAUGGACCAGUGCUGCCUGAAUCUGGAUUCAAAUGGUUCAAAUUGGAGAGUAACAUAUCAAUUUACUGAUGAUGGUUAACUAUUUCACCAGUUUACCCAACAAUAAUUACAAUUAUAAGCAAAUAUGAAUGUUAUCCUUGAAACUGGAUUAAUCGAUUAUGAUUAACAACUUUGGUCCAACCAUGAAAUCUUCAGUCCUGUUUUCAAUUUCUGUUUAUGUUUAAAUUGCUUCUCUGGUCCACCAUAACAACAUUAUCUUAUCAAAGAUUUUUACCAUUUUUCAUGACGAUUAAACUGAUAAAUUUGGUAUCAUCAUCGGUGAGCUUGGAUUCAACGGACAAGACAAUCAUUGCAUCGAUCAGCAUUUGUAACCAUGCACAGUAUUUACCGAUUGCAAUUAAAACGUUGAUUGUUUUCCCUCUCAAUUACAAUUGAGAGCGGCAAUUAUCAAUAAUAUCGUUGUCAAAUAAAUCAGUUUGAUCAUAUCAUCUUUAGUAUCUUCAAAUGUAUUCAAUGAAUCAAGGAAUGUUUCUUACAAGAUAUUGGAUAAAGCAUAUCGAGGAAAUGAUUUACUUUGAAACAAUUAUUUCUUACUUGAAGGUGGCUUAUGAUGUAAAAAGCAGAUUGUAAUCAAGUGCAUGUUGCACCGUGAAUUGAACAUGAUACUUUCAAUUCACCAAAGAAUGGUCAUCUUUGGUGCAAAGUAUCUCUUAUGGAAAUGGUCAAAUUUCAGUCUCAUGAGCAUCUAACAAGAAACAAGUCAAAAGGUUUUUGCUUCAGGUUAACCUUUAAAUUAGAUUGAAGCUAGACCAGAAGCAAUGUUGAUAAUUAUGAUUUAAUGAUGAUUAACUUAGUCUUGAAAAGAAACUCAAAAUCAACUGUGAAUCUAAACUAAUGGUUGAAUUUGAUUGGCACCAGAUAUUUUGGCACCAUCAAUGAUCCACUCGAAAGACGGUUUUAAAUAUCCAGACGCCUAAUCCAAUAAUAAACCAUCAACCUGAAUCAACCUGAACCAAAAAUCUCUCAGUAACCUGAAUUCUGAUUCAGCUCUGGCUAUUUUCGGAUAUAUAGUUCAUGGCUUCCAGACUGUGUGAAAAUUUUCUUGGUUUGGUCACAAUUUUCACUAAAUUUGAUGCUAUUUGAUCACAUAUCGUAUGCAUGUAUAGAUGAAUAAAGGUUGAUUGGGAAUGCAAUUUCUUGGUCUGGAUAAGUUUAAUAUAUAAUGAUGUUAACUAAUUGUAACCAAUGAAUGGCAAAGUAACCAUUAUUAACAAUUAUUGAUUAUCAUGGCUGUUUGACGUUAAUUGGCUGUAAUUAAAGCUCACUAUGCUUUUCCUGUAUCAACCUGCCUGGAUGACCGUAAAUGGUUUUAUUAAUAUACACAUUUGUAGUUGCAAGCCAGUUUCAGUUAAUCGCCAACAUUAAUUACUGGACUGAUUAAUAAACUGAUUUCUACUUCCAAGGUGUUGAUUAUCUUGAAAAAUACCGAUAAUUAAUCUUCUUGAUCUGAAUUUUUCUUUUUGUUGGCCGUUUCAUUUAUUUUCAAUGAAACCGUUCAUAAGAAAACUUGAGGCUUGGUGAGAUGAAAUUUAAUUUUCUUCAAAAAAGGUUAAAACUCAAGUAUAUUUAGAAUGACAAAAUUGAUUUUAAUUUCAAUAUAAUCAAUAAUUUCCUUAAAAAGUAACACAUUUAUCAUUAACCAAUGUACAUGUAUUGAUGUGUUAUAUUGCCAUAAAUGUACAUAGAGUGAUAUUAUAUGGAUAAAAUUGAUUUUAACAAGAAGAUCAAUUUUGCUACGUCAAAUGUCAGUAAUUAUUUUUAUUUGUUACAUGUAAUGUUUUACAUGAAGUUGAAAUAAAACACAACUACCUGUAGUUGCUGUUAAUAGAGAUAAUUAAUCGAUUCUUAUGAAGUAAAGUUGAUUCAGAUGUUAAAUUGCGUCAAUGGAACAAUAUUUACUCUUGAAAAUUAUCCUAUUCUGAUGCUU